This is a non-coding RNA of Nelumbo nucifera (sacred lotus), 789 nucleotides long. NCBI's taxonomy places the organism in Eukaryota, Viridiplantae, Streptophyta, Magnoliopsida, Proteales, Nelumbonaceae. The record is from RefSeq and is a predicted model, not a curated record.
AAAGCACAUACUCUUUUUGUUCUCUGUCAAAGACCCAACCCAAAGAGAUUUUUUUUUUUCUCUCUCUCAGGUUCAGUCGAGAAGGGAUCAAGGCUAGGGAUAUUUGGGCAUCCCUUUCUGUGUUUGAGUUGGAUUUGAUUUUAUUCAUAUUCCAGUUGAUUCAAUUCACAUCGACAAGAAACUUGUGGGGGUUGAACCCAGGGUUUCAGUCCGUUUACGAGUACGAGCUUUCAACCCCGCACUGAUCGAAGGGACGGAUCCCGAAUUCAUGCUCGUACUACUCGCCAAGAGUGGGUUCCAAGGGCAUCUACUGCUACCGUUGUGAACCCUCCGUCGAGUUUUAAUUCAAACCCUAAUGGCAAUGGCGGAGACUCGAAUUAUAGUUCUGCCCCGCCAGAGAGUCGGCAUAGAGGUGAUUUCAUUCAGAGAAGCUAUGUUGCCCGGCCUUCUCAUCCGCGGAGGGAAGCGGAGAAUCACGCGCCCAAGGGAUUGAAUAUGCCGCAGCAUGUGCAGGAAAUUCAAGACAAGCUCACCAAGGGGACUGUCGAAUGCAUGAUCUGUUACGAUAUGGUGCGGAGGUCAGCGCCAAUAUGGUCGUGCUCCAGCUGUUACUCCAUUUUCCAUCUCAACUGUAUCAAGAAAUGGGCUCGAGCACCGACUUCUAUUGAUUUGUCCGUAGACAAGAACCACGGCUCAAAUUGGCGGUGCCCUGGUUGCCAAUCUGUACAGCUCCUCAACUCUAAACAGAUUCGAUACGUUUGCUUUUGUGGGAAGCACCCUGAUCUUCCA